GAUGAACGUUGGCGGCGCGCUUAACACAUGCAAGUCGCACGAGAAAAGGGGCAACCCUGAGUAGAGUGGCGCACGGGUGCGUAACACGUAGGCAAUCUUCCCUCAGGAGGGGGAUAACCAUCCGAAAGGAUGGCUAAUACCGCGUAAGACCACGACUUCUUCGGAAGUUGCGGUCAAAGGGGGCCUCUCCAUGGAAGCUCUCACCUGAGGACGAGCCUGCGGCCCAUCAGCUAGUUGGCAGGGUAACGGCCUACCAAGGCUAAGACGGGUAGCUGGUCUGAGAGGAUGAUCAGCCACACUGGCACUGAAACACGGGCCAGACUCCUACGGGAGGCUG
RNAcentral lists this ribosomal RNA (337 nucleotides) under uncultured Pseudomonadota bacterium. Its description in RNAcentral is "bacterial SSU rRNA". It matches the Rfam family "Bacterial small subunit ribosomal RNA", at positions 28 to 351 of the family's 1533-position model. Lineage: Bacteria; Pseudomonadati; Pseudomonadota. The record is from RNAcentral.